RNAcentral lists this long non-coding RNA (868 nucleotides) under Ovis aries (sheep). RNAcentral describes it as "lncRNA (ENSOARG00000025961.1)". Lineage: Eukaryota; Metazoa; Chordata; Mammalia; Artiodactyla; Bovidae. The record is from RNAcentral.
UCAGGAGGAAGCAACUCCCAGGAAGCAAAGAUACACGGAUUUCUGAAAAAAAAAAAAAAAAAUCCUGCAGGAAAAGACAAGGAGGCACACGUUUUUCAUUAAAUAUGAGGGGGAUGCAAGAAGGACUCUUCCCAAUGGAACUGGGGAACGGCAGAAGGAGCAGAGGCAUCAGAGGGAGGGAGGAAGAAUCUGCCCUUGAAGAGUGGAGAGGCUGUGGUCUCCUGGACCCUUGCCCUGGCACCACUGUGAAAGAUUGCAGCCUUCUGGGAUAGACUUGUGUGGUGUCAUGUCCUGGUCUUCUGCUUCGUAGUUGUGUGAAGUUGUUCAAACAUGGGAGCCUCAGUUUUCUCAUCUAUGCCACAAAAAGCUUCUCCUGGGGUUGCUGUGAAGAUUAAACAGUCCAAAGGCAAAGUCUGCACCACCAGUUGCCACUUCAUGGUUACAUGUCUGUCCUGACUGUCUGCAGUCCUGCACUGUGAUUCUUUGCUGCAUGAUCAAGGAGUUUGCUCUUUGCACUGCCUUGGAGACCAGACAUCCCUUGGGCUCUCCUUCGAGGAUCUAGCUCUAUAAAUAGCGGUAGCAUGAAAUCGGUCGACAGCUGACAGCUCUUCCUCGUCUCUCCUGAAGUCACGUCUGAGGGUUGUCAGCAACGGCAACACACAGAGGAAGCGUCCGAGAUUUAGAAACUUUUAAAAUCUUUACAGCUGUAAUACCUGGCCUGGAGUUUCUGACUCCCUUCUGAGAGGUCUCAAGCUUAUCUUUAUCUUUCUGGAUGGGGUUCACAUACCGUCCCCAUUCUCACUUUCAAUCUACUUCUGCCCCGGUGCUUUACUUCUGGAAAAUAAAAAUCGAAUUCCUGAAAUUUGUG